Molecule: ribosomal RNA, 827 nt
Filed under: uncultured bacterium
Lineage: Bacteria
Description: bacterial SSU rRNA
Rfam family: Bacterial small subunit ribosomal RNA
Source: RNAcentral
AGAGUUUGAUCCUGGCUCAGGACGAACGCUGGCGGCGUGCCUAACACAUGCAAGUCGAACGGAACUGUUUUGAAAGAUUUCUUCGGAAUGAAUUUGAUUUAGUUUAGUGGCGGACGGGUGAGUAACGCGUGAGUAACCUGCCUUCAAGAGGGGGAUAACAUUCUGAAAAGAAUGCUAAUACCGCAUGACAUAUCGGAACCACAUGGUUUUGAUAUCAAAGAUUUUAUCGCUUGAAGAUGGACUCGCGUCCGAUUAGUUAGUUGGUGAGGUAACGGCUCACCAAGACCGCGAUCGGUAGCCGGACUGAGAGGUUGAACGGCCACAUUGGGACUGAGACACGGCCCAGACUCCUACGGGAGGCAGCAGUGGGGGAUAUUGCGCAAUGGGGGCAACCCUGACACAGCAACGCCGCGUGAAGGAUGAAGGUUUUCGGAUUGUAAACUUCUUUUAUUAAGGACGAAAAAUGACGGUACUUAAUGAAUAAGCUCCGGCUAACUACGUGCCAGCAGCCGCGGUAAUACGUAGGGAGCAAGCGUUGUCCGGAUUUACUGGGUGUAAAGGGUGCGUAGGCGGCUUUGCAAGUCAGAUGUGAAAUCUAUGGGCUCAACCCAUAAACUGCAUUUGAAACUGUAGAGCUUGAGUGAAGUAGAGGCAGGCGGAAUUCCCCGUGUAGCGGUGAAAUGCGUAGAGAUGGGGAGGAACACCAGUGGCGAAGGCGGCCUGCUGGGCUUUAACUGACGCUGAGGCACGAAAGCGUGGGUAGCAAACAGGAUUAGAUACCCUGGUAGUCCACGCUGUAAACGAUGAUUACUAGGUGUGGGGGGUCU